AGAGUUUGAUUAUGGCUCAGGACGAACGCUGGCGGCGUGCCUAAUACAUGCAAGUCGAGCGAACUUGAGGGAGCUUGCUCCCAAAAGUUAGCGGCGGACGGGUGAGUAACACGUGGGCAACCUACCUAUAAGACUGGGAUAACUUCGGGAAACCGGAGCUAAUACCGGAUAAUUCUUUUCUACUCAUGUAGGAAAGCUAAAAGACGGUUUACGCUGUCACUUAUAGAUGGGCCCGCGGCGCAUUAGCUAGUUGGUGAGGUAACGGCUCACCAAGGCCACGAUGCGUAGCCGACCUGAGAGGGUGAUCGGCCACACUGGGACUGAGACACGGCCCAGACUCCUACAGGAGGCAGCAGUAGGGAAUCUUCCGCAAUGGACGAAAGUCUGACGGAGCAACGCCGCGUGAGUUAUGAAGGUUUUCGGAUCGUAAAACUCUGUUGUUAGGGAAGAACAAGUACGAGAGUAACUGCUCGUACCUUGACGGUACCUAACCAGAAAGCCACGGCUAACUACGUGCCAGCAGCCGCGGUAAUACGUAGGUGGCAAGCGUUGUCCGGAAUUAUUGGGCGUAAAGCGCGCGCAGGCGGUCCUUUAAGUCUGAUGUGAAAGCCCACGGCUCAACCGUGGAGGGUCAUUGGAAACUGGGGGACUUGAGUGCAGGAGAGAAGAGUGGAAUUCCACGUGCAGCGGUGAAAUGCGUAGAGAUGUGGAGGAACACCAGUGGCGAAGGCGACUCUUUGGCCUGUAACUGACGCUGAGGCGCGAAAGCGUGGGGAGCAAACAGGAUUAGAUACCCUGGUAGUCCACGCCGUAAACGAUGAGUGCUAAGUGUUAGAGGGUUUCCGCCCUUUAGUGCUGCAGUAAACGCAUUAAGCACUCCGCCUGGGGAGUACGGCCGCAACUGAAACUCAAAGGAAUUGACGGGGACCCGCACAAGCGUGGAGCAUGUGGUUUAAUUCGAAGCAACGCGAAGAACCUUACCAGGUCUUGACAUCCUCUGACAAUCCUAGAGAUAGGACUUUCCCCUUAGGGGACAGAGUGACAGGUGGUGCAUGGUUGUCGUCAGCUCGUGUCGUGAGAUGUUGGGUUAAGUCCCGCAACGAGCGCAACCCUUGUCCUUAGUUGCCAGCAUUCAGUUGGGCACUCUAAGGAGACUGCCGGUGACAAACCGGAGGAAGGUGGGGAUGACGUCAAAUCAUCAUGCCCCUUAUGACCUGGGCUACACACGUGCUACAAUGGAUGGUACAAAGGGCUGCGAGACCGCGAGGUUUAGCCAAUCCCAUAAAACCAUUCUCAGUUCGGAUUGUAGGCUGCAACUCGCCUACAUGAAGCCGGAAUCGCUAGUAAUCGUGGAUCAGCAUGCCACGGUGAAUACGUUCCCGGGUCUUGUACACACCGCCCGUCACACCACGAGAGUCUGUAACACCCGAAGUCGGUGGGGUAACCACAAGGAGCCAGCCGCCUAAGGUGGGACAGAUGAUUGGGGUGAAGUCGUAACAAGGUARCCGU
RNAcentral lists this ribosomal RNA (1509 nucleotides) under uncultured bacterium DA154. Its description in RNAcentral is "bacterial SSU rRNA". It matches the Rfam family "Bacterial small subunit ribosomal RNA". Lineage: Bacteria; Bacillati; Bacillota; Bacilli; Caryophanales; Bacillaceae. The record is from RNAcentral.